GCAGUGAUCCCUCUUCCUGGGGAGGAUGGCGCCAGAGCGUGCGACAGAUCAUGCUAACCAAUGUUCAUGUCCAUAACCAGGAACCACAUGUGUAUGCACAGUUUACACAAUAACUGCUUAUUCAUUAUAUGUCAUCUAACGCUUAUUACAUUGUAAUAAGGAAUUGUACGUAGGCCUAAUUCACCUGGAACAUCGUGGUAUAGAAAUGAUAUUUAAACUAUAGGCUAGACGUGAAUAAACAUUGCUGSGGGACAAUACAGAUAGUUUCACCACAUAUUUUGCAUUAUUUGCCAUGUUUUGACACAGUGACAAAAAUCUAUAGAUACAGUAUAUCUCCAAGUAUGAAUAACUUGGGCAAACUUGGGCCACUGUUGACACGUGUUCCAGGAAUGGGAGACAGUUGAAUUAAAUAGAUUUCUGCUAAAAUAAAAUCAUAGAAAAGUGCCCAGUUUUGAAGACAGUUCCCUCACCUUCAAAUCCUAGUUUAACUCCUGUUAGAUCAUGUGCGCAUUGAUAACCUCUGGUGUAAUUAACCAUGCAUUGUAGAGUAUUUAAUGCACAUGCGGGUAUGACAAAUUAACAAGGCAGGCAGGCAGGCAUCCUGUGGGCACACAUCCCCAGGAACUGUACAAUGUGGAAUACUGUAACAUUAGAGCAAACGCACAAGGUGCCUGAAUAACAAAACAAAGGUUGAGAGAGGUGUAUUCUGCUAUGAGAGCGCGGAGAGCUCGCUCUCUGCGGCUUUCUGAGGGGAACGAAAGCUCCUACUUGAUGCUGCCGGCGGAAAGUGCGCGCUGCAGGGCGACGGCGCAGUCACAAGCGCCCAUCAAAGCCUCUGCUGCAAGCGGGAGGAACCUGGCAGUGACAGGCCGAAUCAAGGCCUACACAGGAAGGAGUACUGGAAGGACUGAGGAGAUCUUGUCUUAAUGUACAGACAGACCAGGAGGCAAGCUGGCAGCAGAGAGAGAUCACCUGGGCAUAAGAGGGGAGGCCUACUCUUAACAUCACACCUCCAGCAGGAUACUCACUGUAAACAAUGGCUAACCCCACCCCCAAUCUCCAGCUUCAGCCAGACAUUCUCAAAUUGAAUUAAGGUCCUGUUCUGUGCUGCAGCCCCCUCGGCCCCCCUACGAGCAACCCCCUUGGCCUGGCCCUGUUCCCCUCAUCCAGCCGCCUCGGACUAAUUAAAACCGGUGUGGUCUUGUCUUCGCUGGAUUAACCCUAACGAGGAUCUACUGACUCCACCAGCAUGUGCCUCUUGAUGAGAGAGAGAGAGAGAGAGAGAGAGAGAGAGAGAGAGAGAGAGAGAGAGAGAGAGAGAGAGAGAGAGAGAGAGAGAGAGAGAGAGAGAGAGAGACAGAAAGAGAAAUGGGAGGAUUUGUCCAGGCAACCUUAGCCUUGAAACCCAACACUUAAUUCACUACAGAUGAUACAGAAAAGGUGGAAGAGAGAGAGAGAAAGAGACAAAUAUACUUAUGUUGAUAGUUUAAAUCACUAGUGUGUGUAGUGUUUUAAAAACUGUUAGUGAACACAUUGAAACGUGGCCUUAUUGUGAAGAGAGUCAUAAAACGGACCUCUGGUCAGCCCUCUAUGAAUCCAUUUGAUUCCAUCAUACAGAGAGAUGAAUGUCAAUUCUCUUUCUUUCUUUGUGUGUGUGUGUGUGUGUGUGCGUGUGUGCCAGGGGCAGAGAAAAAUGUAAUUCUCUGGCUUUGAUAAUGCAUUAAUAAUAAAAUGCAAUGUUAAAACAA
Salvelinus sp. IW2-2015 is the source of this 1748-nucleotide long non-coding RNA. RefSeq lists it as uncharacterized. NCBI's taxonomy places the organism in Eukaryota, Metazoa, Chordata, Actinopteri, Salmoniformes, Salmonidae. The record is from RefSeq and is a predicted model, not a curated record.